UACGUAGGGUGCAAGCGUUGUCCGGAAUUAUUGGGCGUAAAGAGCUCGUAGGCGGUUUGUCGCGUCUGCUGUGAAAACGCGAGGCUCAACCUCGCGCCUGCAGUGGGUACGGGCAGACUAGAGUGAUGUAGGGGAGACUGGAAUUCCUGGUGUAGCGGUGAAAUGCGCAGAUAUCAGGAGGAACACCGAUGGCGAAGGCAGGUCUCUGGGCAUUAACUGACGCUGAGGAGCGAAAGCAUGGGGAGCGAACAGG
This 253-nucleotide ribosomal RNA is filed under the name uncultured bacterium. RNAcentral's name for it is "partial 16S ribosomal RNA". It matches the Rfam family "Bacterial small subunit ribosomal RNA", at positions 524 to 776 of the family's 1533-position model. The record is from RNAcentral.